CUGCCAAUUGAAGGGAAGAGAGCUCCUCAGGUGGAGGCAGAAGUCAGUGUCCAGACCCUGGCUGAGGGAUCGGGCUGCAUUAACAAAGCCGAAUGUAGUCAGACGGCAGUCUGGCAUGCCCCACGCCAAGCUGGCAGUCAAGGAAUUCCUAACAUGUCCUCAGUAUGGGCAGAAAGGCAGGUUGAAGUUAAAAAUGGAGAGUUACUGAUGGCGGAAGGUGCUGUUGGUCAUCACUGGUCUUCACACUCAAGCCGUCUCUGAGCAGGAGGACCCAAGCCGGUCCCUAGGGCCCAACGAAUGACCUGCACUUGCCCUUCUGACCAGGGUAAAAGCAGCUCAUCGCUCUGGGUGGAACGAACGGUCUGCAACCUAAGAAUAUCCUCCAGGAAAACGGGUCCCUUGCCGCCUCGUGCCUUCCUGAAAUAAAACGGAGGCUGCUGCACCCC
This is a long non-coding RNA of Equus quagga, 446 nucleotides long. RefSeq lists it as uncharacterized. NCBI's taxonomy places the organism in Eukaryota, Metazoa, Chordata, Mammalia, Perissodactyla, Equidae. The transcript is spliced from 3 exons. The record is from RefSeq and is a predicted model, not a curated record.